CGAAGGAUCAUUACCGCAGUUAGGGUCCUCUGGGCUCGACCUCCUACCCUUUGUCUACCUUACCAUUUGUUGCUUCGGCGGAUCCGUCCCCUCGGGGACCGCCGAGGGGUCUAGGCCCCUUGGCCCGCGUCCGCCGGUAGCCCACAACCAAAACUCUUGUUUAAACGUGUCGUCUAAGUACAAAACAAAUAAGUAAAAACUUUCAACAACGGAUCUCUUGGUUCUGGCAUCGAUGAAGAACGCAGCGAAAUGCGAUACAUAAUGUGAAUUGCAGAAUUCAGUGAAUCAUCGAAUCUUUGAACGCACCCUUGCGCCUCUUGGUAUUCCGAGGGGCACGCCCCGUUUGAGUGUCGUGAAAUUCCCAACCCCUCCUUGGUUUUCUUUUGAAGGCUAAGAGGGCUUGGACUUGGAGGUUCUUGCUGGCAGCACUUUGCGAUCAGCUCCUCUUAAAUGCAUUAGCGAGGUUCUCUUUGCUGACCUUUGGCGUGAUAAGUAUCUACGUCUUUGGUGUGGCUCUGCUGUUAGAACCUGCUUUCUAAUCGUCUCUUUGCUGAGACAACUUGAGUCUCUUUAUUGAGGCUCUAACUCACACUCCUUGACUCAAUCGGGCGGGACUAUCNGCUGAACUUAAGCAUAUCAUAAGCGGAGGAAAGAAACUAACNNAUU
This 666-nucleotide ribosomal RNA is filed under the name uncultured fungus. RNAcentral's name for it is "eukaryotic LSU rRNA". The stretch from base 198 to 353 matches the Rfam family "5.8S ribosomal RNA". Lineage: Eukaryota; Fungi. The record is from RNAcentral.